UGGGGAAUUGUUCACAAUGGGCGCAAGCCUGAUGACGCAACGCCGCGUGGGGGAUGAAGGUCUUCGGAUCGUAAACCCCUGUCGAAUGGGACGAAAGACUCGCGAGUGAAUACUUCGCGAGAGUGACGGUACCGUUAAAGGAAGCCACGGCUAACUCUGUGCCAGCAGCCGCGGUAAUACAGAGGUGGCAAGCGUUGUUCGGAAUUACUGGGCGUAAAGGGCGCGUAGGCGGCCCUCUAAGUCAGACGUGAAAUCCCCCGGCUUAACCUGGGAACUGCGUCUGAUACUGGAGGGCUUGAGUAUGGGAGAGGGAUGUAGAAUUCCAGGUGUAGCGGUGAAAUGCGUAGAUAUCUGGAGGAAUACCGGUGGCGAAGGCGGCAUCCUGGACCAUUACUGACGCUGAGGCGCGAAAGCUAGGGGAGCAAACGGGAUUAGAUACCCCCGUAGUCCCUGAGCGGGC
This 460-nucleotide ribosomal RNA is filed under the name uncultured bacterium. Its description in RNAcentral is "bacterial SSU rRNA". It matches the Rfam family "Bacterial small subunit ribosomal RNA", at positions 355 to 804 of the family's 1533-position model. The record is from RNAcentral.